AUACGUAGGUGGCAAGCGUUAUCCGGAUUUACUGGGUGUAAAGGGCGUGUAGGCGGUUUAGCAAGUCAGAAGUGAAAUUCCCGGGCUUAACUUGGGCGCUGCUUCUGAAACUGCUUUACUUGAGUGCUGGAGAGGAUAGUGGAAUUCCUAGUGUAGCGGUAAAAUGCGCAGAUAUUAGGAGGAACACCGGUGGCGAAGGCGGCUAUCUGGACAGUAACUGACGCUGAGGCGCGAAAGCACGGGGAGCAAACAGGAUUAGAUACCCUGGUAGUCCGUGCCGUAAACGAUGAAUACUAGGUGUAGGGUGUAUCGACUCCCUCUGUGCCGCAGUUAACACAUUAAGUAUUCCACCUGGGGAGUACGGCCGCAAGGUUGAAACUCAAAUGAAUUGACGGGG
RNAcentral lists this ribosomal RNA (397 nucleotides) under uncultured bacterium. RNAcentral describes it as "partial 16S ribosomal RNA". It matches the Rfam family "Bacterial small subunit ribosomal RNA", at positions 523 to 918 of the family's 1533-position model. The record is from RNAcentral.